UACGUAGGGUGCGAGCGUUGUCCGGAAUUAUUGGGCGUAAAGGGCUCGUAGGCGGGUUGUCGCGUCGGGAGUGAAAACUCAGGGCUUAACCCUGAGCCUGCUUCCGAUACGGGCAGACUAGAGGUAUGCAGGGGAGAACGGAAUUCCUGGUGUAGCGGUGAAAUGCGCAGAUAUCAGGAGGAACACCGGUGGCGAAGGCGGUUCUCUGGGCAUUACCUGACGCUGAGGAGCGAAAGUGUGGGGAGCGAACAGG
Molecule: ribosomal RNA, 253 nt
Filed under: uncultured bacterium
Lineage: Bacteria
Description: partial 16S ribosomal RNA
Rfam family: Bacterial small subunit ribosomal RNA
Source: RNAcentral